Microcebus murinus (gray mouse lemur) is the source of this 1508-nucleotide non-coding RNA. The record is from RefSeq and is a predicted model, not a curated record. Lineage: Eukaryota; Metazoa; Chordata; Mammalia; Primates; Cheirogaleidae.
AGGCAGAAGAAUGUGUGUACUGGCCCCUGCACAAGCCCAAGUGCUCUGUCUGAUAAGCUAGGAUUUCACCAUGGCCUGAAUUGGACCCACCUGAGCUCAGGACUCUAAUUAGCUGCACUCUGAGACAUGGUGGCCCUCAGAUUGUGUGGCCCCUUUGCGGCCUCUGUUCCUUUACAGUAGAAAUUUUAGCCCAGAGCCUCACACUGAGGGUUGGGACUCACAGUUUUGGGCGGAAAGUUAGUAGCAUGCUGUUACUUCAGGGGCACACAAGACCUUCUCCAAUUGCAGCAGAAACGUGGCUUUUUAAGCUUAGGAUAAAAAUAAGCUUAAGAAUAGCAAACAACAGACACCAUUGUGCAUGUUACUUGGGAAAACAGGCAAGCUUUCCCAAGACAUGACAUAUAAGAUGACAGGGAACUGCUAAAGAUUAUUUUUUUAUAUCAGUUUGCCUAGAGCAUGUGGCCAUCCAUGUGCUGCUCAGCUUUACUGAAGCAAAGUGCAGUUGUGCAAUAGAUUGUCCUGAAGAGGGGGCUGAAGUCUCAGAAGAUGCACAAUGAGCUCCUAAACAAGGAAACCAUACUAAAAACAGCAGAAAAUUUUUUGAUGAAGCCCAGAGCUCUCCGAGGAUGUGGUUCUGCUCGAUGAACGUGCAGAGAGCUACAUCUGCCCUUCUGUGUGUCCUCCUGUUCAGUAAGAAAGUGUGAUUCUUCUGAGAAUGCUGGGUGGUGUCCUGGACUCCAAAGAAAGAACUCUGAGCUGAGUCUUGGAUAGGGACCUAAUGGGAGCUGACUCCAGCUUCUCACUGUGCAUCUGAGCAGACCAUGGCCAGGCCCCUGCGUGCCCCACUGCUCCUGCUGGCUAUCCUGUCCGUGACCCUGGCUGUGACCCUGGCCAUGCCCCUGGCCAAGAACUCCAAAGGGGUGGUCGGCAUCGAGAAAGCAGAUGUCAAUGAUGAGGGCGUGCAGCGGGAGCUGGACUUUGCCACCAGCAAAUACACCGAGGAGAGCAAUGACUCACACUACAGCCGAUUGGGGGAAGCAGUGAGUGGCUUUCGGCAGACCGUUGCUGCGUUGUACCUGGAGAUAAUCCGGACCACAUGAACCAAGUCCCAGCCCUACUUGGACAACUGUCCCAGGCGAGGCCGCAUCUGAAGAGGGAAUAGCUCUGCUAUUUUUAGAUCUACAGUGUUCGCUGGGAGGAUUCAAUGACCUUGGUGAAUUCCAGCUGUCAGAAGGCCUGGGGAUCAGUUCCAGGCUGGGCUGCACCCCCCCCCAUUUCCCCACAUCUCUCACCUCCCUGUAGUGUUCCCUGCCUGGGAUGGAGGCCACACCCUGGUGUAGGUCUCCUCCCCGCAUCAGCCCCGGGAGGGAGGCAGGUAGACAAGGCUUCAGGAGGCCUUUGUUGCCCAGCCAAGUGGCUCUACCUGUUCCUUUCUCCCUACUGCUUCUCAGACUCGCUGGUACACCACGCUCUGCUCCUGCCUCCUUUAAUAAAAGAGUAGCAUUGGC